Molecule: ribosomal RNA, 164 nt
Filed under: Youngia japonica
Lineage: Eukaryota; Viridiplantae; Streptophyta; Magnoliopsida; Asterales; Asteraceae
Description: 5.8S ribosomal RNA
Rfam family: 5.8S ribosomal RNA (bases 25-164)
About the family: 5.8S ribosomal RNA (5.8S rRNA) is a component of the large subunit of the eukaryotic ribosome. It is transcribed by RNA polymerase I as part of the 45S precursor that also contains 18S and 28S rRNA. Functionally, it is thought that 5.8S rRNA may be involved in ribosome translocation.
Source: RNAcentral
CGUGGCCUCCUUGGAAUCAUAAACGACUCUCGGCAACGGAUAUCUCGGCUCAUGCAUCGAUGAAGAACGUAGCAAAAUGCGAUACUUGGUGUGAAUUGCAGAAUCCCGUGAACCAUCGAGUUUUUGAACGCAAGUUGCGCCCAAUGCCAUUUGGUUGAGGGCAC